Molecule: long non-coding RNA, 91 nt
Organism: Thalassophryne amazonica
Lineage: Eukaryota; Metazoa; Chordata; Actinopteri; Batrachoidiformes; Batrachoididae
Exons: 3
Source: RefSeq, a predicted model, not a curated record
GUGGAGACUGUGCCAACUUGUAGCCAUACAUGAUGCACUAUAUAUAUAUAUAUAUAUAUAUAUAUAUAUACACACAAUUGCUUUGAAACAU